UACGGGGGGAGCAAGCGUUGUUCGGAUUUACUGGGCGUAAAGGGCGCGUAGGCGGCCACCGCAAGUCGGUUGUGAAAUCUCUGGGCUUAACCCAGAAAGGUCAACCGAUACUGCGGGGCUAGAGUGCAGAAGGGGCAACUGGAAUUCUCGGUGUAGCGGUGAAAUGCGUAGAUAUCGAGAGGAACACCUGCGGCGAAGGCGGGUUGCUGGGCUGAUACUGACGCUGACAGCGCGAAAGCUAGGGGAGCGAACGGG
Molecule: ribosomal RNA, 255 nt
Filed under: uncultured bacterium
Lineage: Bacteria
Description: partial 16S ribosomal RNA
Rfam family: Bacterial small subunit ribosomal RNA
Source: RNAcentral